Molecule: long non-coding RNA, 412 nt
Filed under: Brachypodium distachyon (stiff brome)
Lineage: Eukaryota; Viridiplantae; Streptophyta; Magnoliopsida; Poales; Poaceae
Description: long non-coding RNA (BDIS_LNC004279)
Source: RNAcentral
CACUACUUUGAAAUACGAAAAAGAUCCAAACCUAAAAUGCAAAGGUCAUCUUAUUCAAAAUCUCAAUCAUCAGAUCCCCUCUCUCCCACUUCACACCUCGGAACGCGCUGUUCUUAUAGAGAGAAAGGCGCUUUCCCAUCUUCUUAACCCAAAAUGAAGGGGUACCCCCAAUUAGAAAAUGGAUUCCUAUUUGAAGAGUGCCUAACCGCAUGGAUAAGCUCACAUUAACCCGUCAAUUUGGAUCCAAUUCGGGAUUUUUCUUGGGAAGUUUCGAGAAGAAAUUGGAAUGGAAUAAAUAAAGAAUAAAGCAAAAAAAAAUAAGUCGAAGAUAGAAGAGCCCAGAUUCCAAAUGAAGAAACGGAAACUCGAAAAGGAUCCUUCUGAUUCUCAAAGAAUGAGGGGCAAGGGGAUU